Molecule: ribosomal RNA, 790 nt
Filed under: Salmonella enterica subsp. enterica serovar Enteritidis
Lineage: Bacteria; Pseudomonadati; Pseudomonadota; Gammaproteobacteria; Enterobacterales; Enterobacteriaceae
Description: partial 23S ribosomal RNA
Rfam family: Bacterial large subunit ribosomal RNA (bases 83-790)
Source: RNAcentral
AGCCCCACCACCAAAGCAUUUGCUGUACCGCGUUGACGGAGCGAAGCGACGUCAAACCGAUAAAACAGCAGUGUAAAGUGAGCCGCAGGGCGCUUUGCGCGACAGCGCAAAGGCAGGCGGUUUCGCGUAGCGAAAGCGAAUGCUUUGGGGUGGGGUGACUGCGUACCUUUUGUAUAAUGGGUCAGCGACUUAUAUUCUGUAGCAAGGUUAACCGAAUAGGGGAGCCGGAGGGAAACCGAGUCUUAAUUGGGCGUUAAGUUGCAGGGUAUAGACCCGAAACCCGGUGAUCUAGCCAUGGGCAGGUUGAAGGUUGGGUAACACUAACUGGAGGACCGAACCGACUAAUGUUGAAAAAUUAGCGGAUGACCUGUGGCUGGGGGUGAAAGGCCAAUCAAACCGGGAGAUAGCUGGUUCUCCCCGAAAGCUAUUUAGGUAGCGCCUCGUGAAUUCAUCUCCGGGGGUAGAGCACUGUUUCGGCUAGGGGGCCAUCCCGGCUUACCAACCCGAUGCAAACUGCGAAUACCGGAGAAUGUUAUCACGGGAGACACACGGCGGGUGCUAACGUCCGUCGUGAAGAGGGAAACAACCCAGACCGCCAGCUAAGGUCCCAAAGUCAUGGUUAAGUGGGAAACGAUGUGGGAAGGCCCAGACAGCCAGGAUGUUGGCUUAGAAGCAGCCAUCAUUUAAAGAAAGCGUAAUAGCUCACUGGUCGAGUCGGCCUGCGCGGAAGAUGUAACGGGGCUAAACCAUGCACCGAAGCUGCGGCAGCGACACUGUGUGUUGUUGGGUA